This 454-nucleotide ribosomal RNA is filed under the name uncultured bacterium. Its description in RNAcentral is "bacterial SSU rRNA". It matches the Rfam family "Bacterial small subunit ribosomal RNA", at positions 29 to 526 of the family's 1533-position model. The record is from RNAcentral.
AGCGAACGCUGGCGGCAGGCUUAACACAUGCAAGUCGAACGCUCACCUUCGGGUGGGAGUGGCAGACGGGUGAGUAACACGUGGGAACGUGCCCUUCGGUUCGGAAUAACCCUGGGAAACUAGGGCUAAUACCGGAUACGUCCGAGAGGAGAAAGGUUUACUGCCGAAGGAUCGGCCCGCGUCUGAUUAGCUAGUUGGUGGGGUAACGGCCUACCAAGGCGACGAUCAGUAGCUGGUCUGAGAGGAUGAUCAGCCACACUGGGACUGAGACACGGCCCAGACUCCUACGGGAGGCAGCAGUGGGGAAUAUUGGACAAUGGGCGCAAGCCUGAUCCAGCCAUGCCGCGUGAGUGAUGAAGGCCUUAGGGUUGUAAAGCUCUUUUGUCCGGGACGAUAAUGACGGUACCGGAAGAAUAAGCCCCGGCUAACUUCGUGCCAGCCGCCGCCGUAACAC